GAUGAACGCUGGCGGCGUGCCUAAUACAUGCAAGUCGAGCGAACAGACGAGGAGCUUGCUCCUCUGACGUUAGCGGCGGACGGGUGAGUAACACGUGGAUAACCUACCUAUAAGACUGGGAUAACUUCGGGAAACCGGAGCUAAUACCGUAUAAUAUAUUGAACCGCAUGGUGCAAUAGUGAAAGACGGUUUUGCUGUCACUUAUAGAUGGAUCCGCGCCGCAUUAGCUAGUUGGUAAGGUAACGGCUUACCAAGGCAACGAUGCGUAGCCGACCUGAGAGGGUGAUCGGCCACACUGGAACUGAGACACGGUCCAGACUCCUACGGGAGGCAGCAGUAGCGAAUCUUCCGCAAUGGGCGAAAGCCUGACGGAGCAACGCCGCGUGAGUGAUGAAGGUCUUCGGAUCGUAAAACUCUGUUAUUAGGGAAGAACAAAUGUGUAAGUAACUAUGCACGUCUUGACGGUACCGAAUCAGAAAGCCACGGCUAACUACGUG
This 497-nucleotide ribosomal RNA is filed under the name uncultured bacterium. RNAcentral describes it as "partial 16S ribosomal RNA". It matches the Rfam family "Bacterial small subunit ribosomal RNA", at positions 28 to 507 of the family's 1533-position model. The record is from RNAcentral.